GAAUGUAAUUGUUCCAUUAGUAGUGUGGUAUAGGAGAUGGUGAGACCAAGAGAGUGCUGAGACGCGUGCAAGUAUCGACGAAGAUCCUGGGAAUCGUUUAUUAAAUAAAUCUAAAACUAUUUUAAUAUAAAUCCUAACCCCAAUCUAAGUAUUCCUUUACUUUUAUUUCGGCGAUUAACCCUUUUCCUUCGGCAGUCCAGUCUGCCGAAGUACCCUCACUGAACGGAAACGCGCGCCAGAAAUACGCACAGUGUGCGUGGUUGCUGUAUGUUGAGGUUAUUAGAUGUAUGCAUAGAGGAACGCGUGGAUAAAUUGUAAAGUAGAAAGUAUAUUUUAAUACAGAAGUGUAAGUACAAGUAGGAAUAUAAUUUGAGCUGGUCCCGAUCCGCACGCUAGCAGUGCUACCCUAUAACUGAAAAUCCCGAAGCCAUCGUCACCUGUCUAUUGUCUAUGGUCUGCCUUCGUCCCAGUCUAUUGUCUAUACGCUGUCGAU
Molecule: unclassified non-coding RNA, 493 nt
Filed under: Bombus terrestris (buff-tailed bumblebee)
Lineage: Eukaryota; Metazoa; Arthropoda; Insecta; Hymenoptera; Apidae
Description: misc RNA ENSBTSG00005026449.1
Source: RNAcentral